CUAAAUGACUCUCGGCAAUGGAUAUCUCGGCUCUUGCAUCGAUGAAGAACGUAGCGAAAUGCGAUACUUGGUGUGAAUUGCAGAAUCCCGUGAACCAUCGAGUCUUUGAACGCAAGUUGCGCCUGAAGCCAUCAGGUUGAAGGCACGUCUGCCUGGGCGUCACGCAU
RNAcentral lists this ribosomal RNA (167 nucleotides) under Erica umbratica. RNAcentral's name for it is "5.8S ribosomal RNA". It matches the Rfam family "5.8S ribosomal RNA". From Rfam's summary of the family: 5.8S ribosomal RNA (5.8S rRNA) is a component of the large subunit of the eukaryotic ribosome. It is transcribed by RNA polymerase I as part of the 45S precursor that also contains 18S and 28S rRNA. Functionally, it is thought that 5.8S rRNA may be involved in ribosome translocation. The record is from RNAcentral. RNAcentral also lists the same sequence under 1 other name. Lineage: Eukaryota; Viridiplantae; Streptophyta; Magnoliopsida; Ericales; Ericaceae.